Molecule: non-coding RNA, 1862 nt
Organism: Cercocebus atys (sooty mangabey)
Lineage: Eukaryota; Metazoa; Chordata; Mammalia; Primates; Cercopithecidae
Source: the annotation of a RefSeq genome assembly
UUGAAUGAAAAAUUACACUGCAGAAGAAAAGUACAGCAUUGUCUCAUUUGUGUAAAGUUUGAAAACGUGUAAAACUAAACACUAUUUUGUUUGCUUUUGUGGCUAUGUAUUAAAAUAUAAAAGAGAAGCAAAUAAUUACAAAAACAAACACCUCAAUAGAGUUAGAGAACAGAGGCAUGGAACCUGGGAAGAGAAAUAAGAGCUUUCAAAUGUUCUGGUAAUAUUUUAUUUCCUGUGCCAAGUUGUUUUUGUAAGUGAUCAUUCUUUGGUAUGUUAUCAAGUUAUUAUCCAUAUAUUCAAAGUCAAUUUUGUAAUGUGGAGAAAACAACCUCACUGAACAAUUAAACAAAUAAGGAGAAAUCUAUGGAAAGAUAUACAUUAAGCUGUUAACAUUACUUACCUGAAAUGAGGAUGAGAUGGAGGAAGAAAAAAGUGAAAAAAAAAAUCAUCAAAAAAUACACUAUUUAAAAUAAAUAGAUACAGAGAGAAAAAGCAAAAAAGGGAGGUUAUCUAAAAGAAACAUUAGUAAAUGAACAAGCUAAAAUACACCAGAAAGAGCUAGAAAGUGAAGUAUUUUUCAAAGCAGUGCCUAGUUUCAGAAUCAUAAAGAUAGUAAUUACAACAUAGGUAUGUAUUAUACAAAAAGAUAAUUAGAUAAUUAAUAGCCAGAAGGAAUGCCCAGUCUUGAGUUAGAAACUGAUGCUCAAAUUAAUGGCAAAGGACAUUUUUGAAACAACUGUGAAACUUUGCAUAAAAACUAAAUAGUAGAUAAGAUGAAAAUGCAUUGAUGAGAAAGAAUGAUGAUCAUUAACUGAAAAAAGCUUAUCAAACAGAAUUUCAAGAAUAUUGUUUAUAAAAAAUAAUGUGUCUAUAUAUCUGCACAUUUAUAUAUGGAGGGAGAGAGGGAUCUAGAAAGACCCGCACUAAGGUGUUAACAGUGAUAAUUGCUUUCCGGCAGUGGCAUCAUAUUUUUAUUUUGUUAUUUUAUUUUCUAAUGUUCUAAAAUAUCAGUGCAUUGCUUAUAUUAGCAAAAACAGACAUAAAGUAUUUUUAAAUGAAUACAAAAUAACUUAGUUAUAUUUACUGAGUUAGGAUAAAAGCUUUUUUCCCCAAUACCAUAAAGUGUUUUUGCUCAGGAACAUGAAGCAGUAACAUGAUGAUUAUAAGUCUGCGGAGGGAUCACGUCAAAAAGGUGCAGAGAAGGCAUAAAAAAGCCUCAUCCCUUUGCAAUGUCAGUGUGACCAUGGGCACCAGGCUCCUCAGCUGUGCAGCCCUGUGUCUCCUGGCAGCAGGCUCUUUUCAUGCCGAAGUCACACAGACUCCAGGAUAUUUGGUCAAAGGAAAAGGACAGAAAACAAAGAUGGAUUGUACCCCCGAAAAAGGACAUACUUAUGUUUAUUGGUAUCAACAGAAUCAGAAUAAAGAGUUUACAUUUUUGAUUUCCUUUCAGGAUGAACAAGUUCUUCAAGAAACGGAGCUGCACAAGAAGCGGUUCUCAUCUCAAUGCCCCAAGAACCUACCUUGCAGCCUGGAGAUCCCGUCCUCGGAACCAGGAGACACGGCACUGUAUCUCUGUGCCAGCAGCCAAUCCACAGCACUGAAAUGUCAGUUCCUCUUAGCACACAAACUUGUCACAGGCCCAGCUCAGGAAGCAGGUGAUGUAUUAGGUUGGAACGGAGUAAUAGAAAGUAACUGUAGCCAGUUUAAGCCACAGUGGAAUUUAACACAAGGAUAAAGCAUGUUUAGCAACAGUCAAGAGGCGACAGACAGAUAGUUCUGAAAAGGCACCCUAGGGCUGGGCUCUAGAAUGACUCUCUCUCCAGCUCUGAUUUUUCUUCAAUUUUGGCUGCUGCAUGCUUUUA